GGGGAUGACUGGUUUCGACUUGGACGGUAGUUCGAGGAGAAGCGGGCCGAGGAUCCAUGCCUAUCUCGUUAACGCUGCAUGGGAACCAAUAAGUGCCAACAACAACCGCACUGACUUCGCUCUCGCUGCCUGAUCAGCGAUCGAAGGGUCACGCCCGGGGGUGCCUUCCUUCCGGUGCCUGGCCUCAAUCUAGAAGGCUUGCUGAAACGCCUGAGCCUCAGGGGCGUUUCGGGACUUAACUGAAGCUGGGCCUGGCUGCAACUUGCUG
Molecule: transfer-messenger RNA, 268 nt
Filed under: Propionibacteriaceae bacterium
Lineage: Bacteria; Bacillati; Actinomycetota; Actinomycetes; Propionibacteriales; Propionibacteriaceae
Description: partial transfer-messenger RNA
Rfam family: transfer-messenger RNA
About the family: Bacterial tmRNA, also known as 10Sa RNA or SsrA, is named for its dual tRNA and mRNA-like properties. Its role is to liberate the mRNA from a stalled ribosome. To accomplish this part of the tmRNA is used as a reading frame that ends in a translation stop signal.
Source: RNAcentral